GCCUGGUGAAGGACGUCUGUCGUGGGGUAGUUGGAGCUUGACUCUGAAGUGAUCAUCACACUCACUGCCACUUCACGUAGAAUACUGCUACCACAAACUACCAGCGUUUGUACCAUAUAUACCAGAUGACUACAUCUGUUUUACCACAUGUUGAAGCAAGACUUCCGCUGUUUGUUCCAGACCAGGACUCUGGCUGAGGAGAGCUGAUGGAGGAGCUGACACGCUGGAGGACGACUAGGAAUCGACCAACAAGGAUUCCUCAACGUGUUUCUGGAGCGGAGGCGAGCUGGUAGGGGAGCCGUGAAUCUGGAGGAUGACCAUCACUCUACCAACAAGGAUUACGUUGGGGCCAGACUCACGCUGUUUGUUCCAGACCAGGACUCUGGCUGAGGUGAGCUGAUGGAGGAGUUGAGACGCUGGAGGACGACUAGGAAUCGACCAACAAGGAUUCCUCAACGUGUUUCUGGAGCGGAGGCGAGCUGGUAGGGGAGCCGUGAAUCUGGAGGAUGACCAUCACUCUACCAACAAGGAUUACCAGGAAUCUGGAGGACUGAUGGAGAAGCCGUACAUCUGGAAGGCAAAUCCUGAGGACAACCAGGACGCUACCAUCAAGGAUUCCUCACACACCUGAGCUGAACCUCACCUGAUCCUGUUUGGUCAGGGGCAGACACACCUGAGCUGAACCUCACCUGAUCCUGUUUGGUCAGGGGCAGACACACCUGAGCUGAACCCGCCCUGAUCCUGACAUCCUGCUAGUCUCGUCGCCUCAGUUCAUCUGAGCCUCGUCCACCAGAAGACCUGCUGAGCUCAGCAGUCUGAGGCUGUUGGAUCAAUGACCUCCAGUGGGAGUGAUCUUCUUGACCCCACAUAACGUGUUUCUGGAGCGGAGCCGAGCUGGUAGGGGAGUCGUGAAUCUGGAGGAUGACCAUCACUCUACCAACAAGGAUUACCAGGACUCUGGCUGAGGAGCUGAUGGAGGAGCCAAGACUCUGGAGGACGACAUCACUCUACCAACCAGGAUCCUUACCAGGAAUCUGGAGGACUGAUGGAGAAGCCGUACAUCUGGAAGGCAAAUCCUGAGGACAACCAGGACGCUACCAUCAAGGAUUCCUCACACACCUGAGCUGAACCUCACCUGAUCCUGUUUGGUCGGGGGUUGACACACCUGAGCUGAACCCGCCCUGAUCCUGACAUCCUGCUAGUCCCGUCUCCUCAGUUCAUCUGCGCCUCGUCCUCCAGAAGACCUGCUGAGCUCAGCGGUCUGAGGCUGAUGGAUCAAUGACCUCCAGUGGGAGUGAUCUUCUUGACCCUACAUGUAAUCGUGUGCUUCCACACGCCUUUCUCUCACGCCUUUCUCUCACGUCUGUCACUAACCUCACUACUCUCUACUGCUUCCUCUUCUUCUUCCUUUUCUGUGGUUCGAACCUAUACACGGAAGGCGCGUCUUCCUGCCCUCAGAGGGUUCAGUGUUAGGGUUGAGAGUCAGGGUUUAGAGUCAGGGACAGAGCUGGUCAGGGAGGACUGCUUUUACACAAACCUCUUCACUUGCUUUCGGAAUGGUGGUGACAUUUUGAAAAAAAAAUUGGGAAAAUGUUUUCCUCUGCUUUCCUUUAC
Molecule: long non-coding RNA, 1614 nt
Organism: Gadus macrocephalus (Pacific cod)
Lineage: Eukaryota; Metazoa; Chordata; Actinopteri; Gadiformes; Gadidae
Exons: 10
Source: RefSeq, a predicted model, not a curated record